GGCACCAUAGUUGAAUAACAACAUUAAAUUGCAAAUUUAAAGGAGUACCUUGAUACUAGUGCCU
RNAcentral lists this transfer RNA (64 nucleotides) under Amynthas habereri. RNAcentral describes it as "tRNA-Cys". The record is from RNAcentral. RNAcentral also lists the same sequence under 1 other name. Lineage: Eukaryota; Metazoa; Annelida; Clitellata; Crassiclitellata; Megascolecidae.